This 274-nucleotide ribosomal RNA is filed under the name uncultured bacterium. RNAcentral describes it as "partial 16S ribosomal RNA". It matches the Rfam family "Bacterial small subunit ribosomal RNA", at positions 523 to 796 of the family's 1533-position model. The record is from RNAcentral.
AUACGGAGGGUGCAAGCGUUAUCCGGAAUCAUUGGGUUUAAAGGGUCCGCAGGCGGUCAAUUAAGUCAGAGGAGAAAUCCCGUCGCUCAACGACGGAACUGCCUCUGAUACUGGUUGACUUGAGUUAUAUGGAAGUAGAUAGAAUGUGUAGUGUAGCGGUGAAAUGCAUAGAUAUUACACAGAAUACCGAUUGCGAAGGCAGUCUACUACGUAUAUACUGACGCUCAUGGACGAAAGCGUGGGGAGCGAACAGGAUUAGAAACCCGGGUAGUCC